CAAGAUGGCGGCUGCGGUUCCCUCAGGUUCUCAGGAAGUUUUCGCCGAGGGCCUGGGUGGCUUCGCCCAGAAGCACCGCCCAGCAGGUUUCUCCUCGAGCCUCAUUGGCCAGAAUUGGGUCACGUGUCCAUGGCUGCCUCGGGGUGUUUGAAGAGUCAAAGAGGGAGGAUUCAGACACGUUGCAAUUCUCUUGGACAUUGCGAGGGAGCGUGAGCGUGGCGCACAUCUUCCCAAAACUGAGACUAUUAAGUGACAUGGGCACAGAUACAGCAAGAAGGCAGCUGUCUUUGGGCCAGGAAGAGGGCUUUCACCAGAUCCCGACCACGCUGGCACCCUGAUCUCAGAUAUCCAGCUUCUGGAACCAAGGAAGAUGCUGAUUGUCAACUGGGAGUUCUUGGGAAAUGCCAUGGGCUCCUCCCAUCCCCCCAUGGACUGAGGCUGGAUCUGAAAAUCCUGGAAGUUUUUUCCCUGAACUGAGAGCUGAUGAAGGUGGGAGAGAGCCAGCUUUUAAGGGACUUUCAUAGGAACUGCAACAAUAGCAGUGCUGUGCCCUGUGAGAGCUGCAAAUGGGGUCCCCAGCAAGAGGGAAUACAGAGAUGCAUAUGCUUGAGCUGUUCUACCAUCUAAAUGUCCAUAAUGAAAAAAACUUGUAUAAAAUGCAAUAAAAUAGGUCUGUGAAUUCAGCCUUAAAAAAUCAUGUGCAUCUGGGUUUUGUCCUGAAGAAGAAAAAAAUCCAUGACCAGUUUGGUGAAGUUGGAUGAGGGGAGUGAUUAAACAGUUAUUAUUGGAUUUUGUGUUUUUCACAAAAAUAAUACAUAUUCAUUAUUAAAAAUUCAAGUAAUGUAUAAGUAAUAGUCUAUCAGUUAGGAAUGCUUCUGGGACAAAUAACAAUAAACUCAGUAAACUUGGCUUAAAAGACAAGAGUGUAUUGUUAAUUAACAGGAAGCCUGAAGGUAGGUAGUUCUGGGCUGGGUUUAGGGACUAAACAAUAUCAACAAGAACCCAAAUUCCUUUGUUCUUCCUGCCCUGCUGUACUCAUUGUGUUGGUGAUGUCUCCCUUCAUGGUUACAAGAUGGCAGCCAUAGCUCCAGACACCAGGUUCUCAUGUCACAGUUUCAAACAGUAAGGAAAGGAGUAAAAUGGGGGCCAAAAAAACCCUCAUCCUCCUUUAUUAAAUUUUAUUUUCUUUCCCAGAAUCUAUUUUCUUCAUCCACAGAGUUGGGUGGACUUCUGUUCAAGCCCUAGCUCUCCCUCUCAGCCUCUUUGAGCUUCAAUUUCUCCAAUUCAGAAAUGGAAAUAAUAGUUCUUUUCCUCAUAGGGUGUUGUGAGAAUUAAAUA
Molecule: long non-coding RNA, 1338 nt
Organism: Canis lupus familiaris (dog)
Lineage: Eukaryota; Metazoa; Chordata; Mammalia; Carnivora; Canidae
Exons: 4
Source: RefSeq, a predicted model, not a curated record